Molecule: long non-coding RNA, 474 nt
Organism: Oncorhynchus keta (chum salmon)
Lineage: Eukaryota; Metazoa; Chordata; Actinopteri; Salmoniformes; Salmonidae
Exons: 4
Source: RefSeq, a predicted model, not a curated record
CUCCUGUAGGGUUUUAGACUCCAACCCUGUUCCUGGAGAGCUACCCUCCUGUAGGUUUUAACUCCAACCCUGUUCCUGGAGAGCUACCCUCCUGUAGGUUUUAACUCCAACCCUGUUCCUGGAGAGCUACCCUCCUGUAGGUUUUAACUCCAACCCUGUUCCUGGAGAGCUACCCUCCUGUAGGUUUUAACUCCAACCCUGUUCCUGGAGAGCUACCCUCCUGUAGGUUUUAACUCCAACCCUGUUCCUGGAGAGCUACCCUCCUGUAGGUUUUAACUCCAACCCUGUUCCUGGAGAGCUACCCUCCUGUAGGUUUUAACUCCAACCCUGUUCCUGGAGAGCUACCCUCCUGUAGGUUUUAACUCCAACCCUGUUCCUGGAGAGCUACCCUCCUGUAGGUUUUAACUCCAACCCUGUUCCUGGAGAGCUACCCUCCUGUAGGUUUUAACUCCAACCCUGUUCCUGGAGUGCUAC